GGUUAAGCGACUAAGCGUACACGGUGGAUGCCCUGGCAGUCAGAGGCGAUGAAGGACGUGCUAAUCUGCGAUAAGCGUCGGUAAGGUGAUAUGAACCGUUAUAACCGGCGAUUUCCGAAUGGGGAAACCCAGUGUGUUUCGACACACUAUCAUUAACUGAAUCCAUAGGUUAAUGAGGCGAACCGGGGGAACUGAAACAUCUAAGUACCCCGAGGAAAAGAAAUCAACCGAGAUUCCCCCAGUAGCGGCGAGCGAACGGGGAGCAGCCCAGAGCCUGAAUCAGUGUGUGUGUUAGUGGAAGCGUCUGGAAAGGCGCGCGAUACAGGGUGACAGCCCCGUACACAAAAAUGCACAUACUGUGAGCUCGAUGAGUAGGGCGGGACACGUGGUAUCCUGUCUGAAUAUGGGGGGACCAUCCUCCAAGGCUAAAUACUCCUGACUGACCGAUAGUGAACCAGUACCGUGAGGGAAAGGCGAAAAGAACCCCGGCGAGGGGAGUGAAAAAGAACCUGAAACCGUGUACGUACAAGCAGUGGGAGCCUCUUAAUGGGGUGACUGCGUACCUUUUGUAUAAUGGGUCAGCGACUUAUAUUCUGUAGCAAGGUUAACCGAAUAGGGGAGCCGAAGGGAAACCGAGUCUUAACUGGGCGUUAAGUUGCAGGGUAUAGACCCGAAACCCGGUGAUCUAGCCAUGGGCAGGUUGAAGGUUGGGUAACACUAACUGGAGGACCGAACCGACUAAUGUUGAAAAAUUAGCGGAUGACUUGUGGCUGGGGGUGAAAGGCCAAUCAAACCGGGAGAUAGCUGGUUCUCCCCGAAAGCUAUUUAGGUAGCGCCUCGUGAAUUCAUCUCCGGGGGUAGAGCACUGUUUCGGCAAGGGGGUCAUCCCGACUUACCAACCCGAUGCAAACUGCGAAUACCGGAGAAUGUUAUCACGGGAGACACACGGCGGGUGCUAACGUCCGUCGUGAAGAGGGAAACAACCCAGACCGCCAGCUAAGGUCCCAAAGUCAUGGUUAAGUGGGAAACGAUGUGGGAAGGCCCAGACAGCCAGGAUGUUGGCUUAGAAGCAGCCAUCAUUUAAAGAAAGCGUAAUAGCUCACUGGUCGAGUCGGCCUGCGCGGAAGAUGUAACGGGGCUAAACCAUGCACCGAAGCUGCGGCAGCGACACUAUGUGUUGUUGGGUAGGGGAGCGUUCUGUAAGCCUGCGAAGGUGUACUGUGAGGUAUGCUGGAGGUAUCAGAAGUGCGAAUGCUGACAUAAGUAACGAUAAAGCGGGUGAAAAGCCCGCUCGCCGGAAGACCAAGGGUUCCUGUCCAACGUUAAUCGGGGCAGGGUGAGUCGACCCCUAAGGCGAGGCCGAAAGGCGUAGUCGAUGGGAAACAGGUUAAUAUUCCUGUACUUGGUGUUACUGCGAAGGGGGGACGGAGAAGGCUAUGUUGGCCGGGCGACGGUUGUCCCGGUUUAAGCGUGUAGGCUGGUUUUCCAGGCAAAUCCGGAAAAUCAAGGCUGAGGCGUGAUGACGAGGCACUACGGUGCUGAAGCAACAAAUGCCCUGCUUCCAGGAAAAGCCUCUAAGCAUCAGGUAACAUCAAAUCGUACCCCAAACCGACACAGGUGGUCAGGUAGAGAAUACCAAGGCGCUUGAGAGAACUCGGGUGAAGGAACUAGGCAAAAUGGUGCCGUAACUUCGGGAGAAGGCACGCUGAUAUGUAGGUGAAGUCCCUCGCGGAUGGAGCUGAAAUCAGUCGAAGAUACCAGCUGGCUGCAACUGUUUAUUAAAAACACAGCACUGUGCAAACACGAAAGUGGACGUAUACGGUGUGACGCCUGCCCGGUGCCGGAAGGUUAAUUGAUGGGGUUAGCGGUAACGCGAAGCUCUUGAUCGAAGCCCCGGUAAACGGCGGCCGUAACUAUAACGGUCCUAAGGUAGCGAAAUUCCUUGUCGGGUAAGUUCCGACCUGCACGAAUGGCGUAAUGAUGGCCAGGCUGUCUCCACCCGAGACUCAGUGAAAUUGAACUCGCUGUGAAGAUGCAGUGUACCCGCGGCAAGACGGAAAGACCCCGUGAACCUUUACUAUAGCUUGACACUGAACAUUGAGCCUUGAUGUGUAGGAUAGGUGGGAGGCUUUGAAGUGUGGACGCCAGUCUGCAUGGAGCCGGCCUUGAAAUACCACCCUUUAAUGUUUGAUGUUCUAACGUUGGCCCCUGAUCGGGGUUGCGGACAGUGUCUGGUGGGUAGUUUGACUGGGGCGGUCUCCUCCUAAAGAGUAACGGAGGAGCACGAAGGUUGGCUAAUCCUGGUCGGACAUCAGGAGGUUAGUGCAAUGGCAUAAGCCAGCUUGACUGCGAGCGUGACGGCGCGAGCAGGUGCGAAAGCAGGUCAUAGUGAUCCGGUGGUUCUGAAUGGAAGGGCCAUCGCUCAACGGAUAAAAGGUACUCCGGGGAUAACAGGCUGAUACCGCCCAAGAGUUCAUAUCGACGGCGGUGUUUGGCACCUCGAUGUCGGCUCAUCACAUCCUGGGGCUGAAGUAGGUCCCAAGGGUAUGGCUGUUCGCCAUUUAAAGUGGUACGCGAGCUGGGUUUAGAACGUCGUGAGACAGUUCGGUCCCUAUCUGCCGUGGGCGCUGGAGAACUGAGGGGGGCUGCUCCUAGUACGAGAGGACCGGAGUGGACGCAUCACUGGUGUUCGGGUUGUCAUGCCAAUGGCACUGCCCGGUAGCUAAAUGCGGAAGAGAUAAGUGCUGAAAGCAUCUAAGCACGAAACUUGCCCCGAGAUGAGUUCUCCCUGACUCUUUAAGGGUCCUGAAGGAACGUUGAAGACGACGACGUUGAUAGGCCGGGUGUGUAAGCGCAGCGAUGCGUUGAGCUAACCGGUACUAAUGAACCGUGAGGCUUAACCUU
Molecule: ribosomal RNA, 2904 nt
Filed under: Escherichia coli
Lineage: Bacteria; Pseudomonadati; Pseudomonadota; Gammaproteobacteria; Enterobacterales; Enterobacteriaceae
Description: 23S ribosomal RNA
Rfam family: Bacterial large subunit ribosomal RNA
Source: RNAcentral